CUUGUGCUGUCUUGCCUUGCCAGUUCUAUGGUUAGUUGGAGUUUGCCUUUUGAGUUCUUUUGGAUCACUGGUUUUGUUUGGAUUGCUUAUUUAUUUUGGACAUGGACUCAGCCACUCAGUUGGGAGCAGAAAAGAAGGCACCGGGAGCAUAUCAACAUCUCAUCCUUUGGAUUUAGCCAGUAAAGCAAUCCUGAGCCCUUUACAUCUGUCCACAGGCUGUUAUAGCGAAACCAAGACAGUCGGGGAAGGUCUAAUUUUUUAAGUUCUGGUCUGAAUCCAAACUGUAAUGGAACAACUAACGUGUAGGUCUAAGUGCUUUUUUCCUAUUAAAACCUGCUAAAGAU
This is a long non-coding RNA of Micropterus dolomieu (smallmouth bass), 344 nucleotides long. RefSeq lists it as uncharacterized. The record is from RefSeq and is a predicted model, not a curated record. NCBI's taxonomy places the organism in Eukaryota, Metazoa, Chordata, Actinopteri, Centrarchiformes, Centrarchidae. The transcript is spliced from 2 exons.